GGCCUAACACAUGCAAGUCGGACGGGAUUUGGGAGCUUGCUCCUAAUGAGAGUGGCGCACGGGUGCGUAACACGUAUGUAACCUACCUUAAUCUGGGGGAUAGCCUCUCGAAAGAGAGAUUAACACCGCAUAACAUUACGACAUAGCAUUUUGUUGUAAUCAAAUAUUUAUAGGAUUAAGAUGGGCAUGCGGAACAUUAGCUAGUUGGUAAGGUAACGGCUUACCAAGGCUACGAUGUUUAGGGGAUCUGAGAGGAUGACCCCCCACACUGGUACUGAGACACGGACCAGACUCCUACGGGAGGCAGCAGUAAGGAAUAUUGGUCAAUGGGCGCAAGCCUGAACCAGCCAUGCCGCGUGCAGAAAGACGGCCCUACGGGUUGUAAACUGCUUUUGUACCGGAAUAAACCCUUUUACGUGUAAGAGGCUGAAUGUACGGUAAGAAUAAGGGUCGGCUAACUCCGUGCCAGCAGCCGCGGUAAUACGGAGGAUCCAAGCGUUAUCCGGAUUUAUUGGGUUUAAAGGGUGCGUAGGCGGCCUAUUAAGUCAGGGGUGAAAGACGGUAGCUUAACUAUCGCAGUGCCUUUGAUACUGAUGGGCUUGAAUGUACUUGAGGUAGGCGGAAUGUGACAAGUAGCGGUGAAAUGCAUAGAUAUGUCACAGAACACCAAUUGCGAAGGCAGCUUACUAAAGUAUGAUUGACGCUGAGGCACGAAAGCGUGGGGAUCAAACAGGAUUAGAUACCCUGGUAGUCCACGCCCUAAACGAUGAACACUCGAUGUUGGCGAUAUACGGUCAGCGUCUAAGCGAAAGCGUUAAGUGUUCCACCUGGGGAGUACGCCCGCAAGGGUGAAACUCAAAGGAAUUGACGGGGGCCCGCACAAGCGGAGGAGCAUGUGGUUUAAU
Molecule: ribosomal RNA, 905 nt
Filed under: uncultured Sphingobacteriaceae bacterium
Lineage: Bacteria; Pseudomonadati; Bacteroidota; Sphingobacteriia; Sphingobacteriales; Sphingobacteriaceae
Description: bacterial SSU rRNA
Rfam family: Bacterial small subunit ribosomal RNA
Source: RNAcentral